This 439-nucleotide ribosomal RNA is filed under the name uncultured bacterium. RNAcentral's name for it is "bacterial SSU rRNA". It matches the Rfam family "Bacterial small subunit ribosomal RNA", at positions 338 to 769 of the family's 1533-position model. The record is from RNAcentral.
CCUACGGGGGGCAGCAGUGGGGAAUCUUGCGCAAUGCGCGAAAGCGUGACGCAGCAACGCCGCGUGGGCGAAGAAGGCCUUCGGGUCGUAAAGCCCUUUCAGCAGGGACGAAGCUUCGGCAGCGAAUAGCUGUCCGGAGUGACGGUACCUGCAGAAGAAGCCCCGGCUAACUACGUGCCAGCAGCCGCGGUAAUACGUAGGGGGCUAGCGUUGUCCGGAAUCAUUGGGCGUAAAGCGCGCGUAGGCGGCCAGAUAAGUCCGGUGUGAAAGUCACAGGCUCAACCUGUGAAUGCCGCUGGAAACUGUUUGGCUAGAGUCCGGAAGGGGCGAGUGGAAUUCCUGGUGUAGCGGUGAAAUGCGCAGAUAUCAGGAGGAACACCAAUGGCGAAGGCAGCUCGCUGGGACGGUACUGACGCUGAGGCGCGAAAGCGUGGGGAGC